RNAcentral lists this ribosomal RNA (376 nucleotides) under uncultured bacterium. RNAcentral describes it as "bacterial SSU rRNA". It matches the Rfam family "Bacterial small subunit ribosomal RNA", at positions 128 to 507 of the family's 1533-position model. The record is from RNAcentral.
ACCUUUACAGAGGAUAGCCAGAGAAAUUUGGAUUAAUACCUCAUAGUGUUAUUAGAUGGCAUCAUUGAUAACUAAAGUUCCAACGGUAAAGAUGGGCAUGCGUCCCAUUAGCUAGAUGGUAAGGUAACGGCUUACCAUGGCAAUGAUGGGUAGGGGUCCUGAGAGGGAGAUCCCCCACACUGGUACUGAGACACGGACCAGACUCCUACGGGAGGCAGCAGUGAGGAAUAUUGGACAAUGGGCGCAAGCCUGAUCCAGCCAUGCCGCGUGCAGGAAUAAGGUCCUAUGGAUUGUAAACUGCUUUUAUACAGGAAGAAACACACCCUCGUGAGGGUACUUGACGGUACUGUAUGAAUAAGGACCGGCUAACUCCGUG